This 497-nucleotide ribosomal RNA is filed under the name uncultured bacterium. RNAcentral describes it as "partial 16S ribosomal RNA". It matches the Rfam family "Bacterial small subunit ribosomal RNA", at positions 28 to 507 of the family's 1533-position model. The record is from RNAcentral.
GAUGAACGCUGGCGGCGUGCCUAAUACAUGCAAGUCGAGCGAACAGACGAUGAGCUUGCUCCUCUGACGUUAGCGGCGGACGGGUGAGAAACACGUGGAUAACCUACCUAUAAGACUGGGAUAACUUCGGGAAACCGGAGCUAAUACCGGAUAAUAUAUUGAACCGCAUGGUUCAAUAGUGAAAGACGGUUUUGCUGUCACUUAUCGAUGGAUCCGCGCGGCAUUAGCUGGUUGUUAAGGUAACGGCUUACCAAGGCAACGAUGCGUAACCGACCGGAGAGGGGGAUCGGCCACACUGGAGCGGAGACAGGGUCCUGACUACUACGGGAGGCAGCAGUAGGGAAUCUUCGGCAAUGGUCGAAAGCUUGACGGAGCAACGCCAAGUGAGAUAUAGAGGUCUUGGGAUCGUAAAACUGUGUUUUUAGGGAAGAACAAAUGUGUAAGUAACUAUGCACGUCUUGACGGUACCGAAUAAAAAAGCCACGGCUAACUACGUG